Petromyzon marinus (sea lamprey) is the source of this 2297-nucleotide non-coding RNA. Lineage: Eukaryota; Metazoa; Chordata; Hyperoartia; Petromyzontiformes; Petromyzontidae. The record is from RefSeq and is a predicted model, not a curated record.
UCCCCCCAUCUCUCUCUCUCCAUCUCUCUGUCUCUCUCUCUCCAUCUCUCUGUCUCUCUCUCCAUCUCUCUGUCUCUCUCCCCAUUUCUCUCUCUCCUGUCUGCAUCCCUAUCUCGCUUUCUCCCAGGCUUCACCAACUCGCUGUACCACCAUCGCCAUCCCAUCAUCCCUCCGCUCAGCUUUUUUGACUGCACCCACGGACGCGGCGCCGAUGUUCGUUGUUGUCGAGGUUAUUAGCCGUGGUUUUUAAACAGAGUCGUGAUAGUCUACGAAACGAGUAAGCGUGCCAUUAACGCUGUGUUGUAUUUUUUAAUAGUAACCCGAACCCGCUUUCCCUUGUGAUCAUCCUUCCACAAGCACGCCAGCGAGUCCUCGUUCAGCGCGCCAUAGAGUGGUACUAGAUACUCCCCUGAGAAGUUGCAUUUUCUUUGGGCUAGAUCGCUUAAAUGUGAAUGUUGUGUCGGCACGGCCAAUUAGUCAGGGGUUUAUCACGUAAGCAAAACACGUGCCAAUUAGUUACUAGUUCAGCAGUCACCGUCGCUGUGUGUUGGAGAAUGAACCCACGACAACAUUUACACAUUCGAGUAGCCGUGACGUUUCGCCGGUAAUUACAACAACAACCGGCAGCCUCAUCAUCAGGCGGCAGCCACGGAGUUGUGGAGAAAUCCUCCUCCUGAUUUGGUCUAAAAUAGACGGGAUACAUGUGAUGUCAUCGCUUGUGACGGGAUACAUGUGAUGUCAUCGCUUGUGACGGGAUACAUGUGAUGUCAUCGCUUGCGACGGGAUACAUGUGAUGUCAUCGCUUGCGACGGGAUACAUGUGAUGUCAUCGCUUGUGACGGGAUACAUGUGAUGUCAUCGCUUGUGACGGGAUACAUGUGAUGUCAUCGCUUGUGACGGGAUACAUGUGAUGUCACCGCUUGUGACGGGAUACAUGUGAUGUCAUCGCUUGUGACGGGAUACAUGUGAUGUCAUCGCUUGCGACGGGAUACAUGUGAUGUCAUCGCUUGCGACGGGAUACAUGUGAUGUCAUCGCUUGUGACGGGAUGCAUGUGAUGUCAUCGCUUGUGAUGGGAUACAUGUGAUGUCAUCGCUUGUGAUGGGAUACAUGUGAUGUCAUCGCUUGUGACGGGAUGCAUGUGAUGUCAUCGCUUGUGGCGGGAUGCAUGUGAUGUCAUCGCUUGCGACGGGAUACAUGUGAUGUCAUCGCUUGUGGCGGGAUGUGAUGUCAUCACUUGUGACGGGAUGUGAUGUCAUCACUUGUGAUGGCAUGUGAGACGAUCACGUGCGAAGACCAGAGGGGGUGGGAUCAUGUAUUAAUAUAAAUUACAACGGAUCUCUAUUAUUGGUUGGGUUAUUCACAGUUAAUAAUCAUACAUAUUAUUAUUAUGUUAAUCUAAGAGUACGUACGUUGAACUUCUUUUGUACCGUACGUAGCCAACCGUGCUCAUCGGAGGAGUGUUAAUCGACAAACGCCACCACGGCGUUCGCGUAUCACUCCGCGUACCGUACCACUGCACUGCUCACGAAAAGUUAGUUCGUAAAGUAGUCCGCUCAGGAACCGCGUUAUAACGGUGGACACGCUCCGGGUUCUAACAACGCCCAUUCCAUGUUAUAACGGUGGACACGUUUCCCGUUUUAACGGUGAAACACGUUUCCCGUUAUAACGGUGGACACGUUUUCCGUUAUAACGGUGGACACGUUUCCCGUUAUAACAGUGGACACGUUUCCCGUUAUAACAGUGGACACGUUUCCCAUUAUAACAGUGAAACACGUUUCCCAUUAUAACAGUGAAACACGUUUCCCAUUAUAACAGUGGACACGUUUCCCGUUAUAACGGUGAAACACGUUUCCCAUUAUAACAGUGAAACACUUUUCCCGUUACAACAGUGAACACGUUUCCCGUUAUAACGGUGAAACACGUUUCCCUGAAACACGUUUCCCGUUAUAACGGUGGACGCGUUUAUAACGGCGCGCCUUCCACGUUAUCACGAAAAGCGUUCCCAAGUUGUCGAGCGGCGUCAGAGUGUUAUUCGAGCGGCGUUAGAGCGGCGUUAGUGCGGCGUUAGAGCGGCGUUAGUGCGGCGUUAGAGCGGCGUUAGUGAGUCGUUAGUGCGUCCUGUGAUCUUCAGAGAGCUCAGCGAGGACUCGCCCUGCGACGGUGACUCGAACGUAAACGGAGCGAUUUUGUUGUUGUUGUUGUAAAGAUCAAGAGGCGAGGUCAAAGCGAUGUGUCUGUCACACUUGAUAAGAACAUUCCAGCCAUUUAAAAAAAAAACAAUAUCGUACGCAAUUUUA